CGGGGUGAGUAAUGUAUGGGGAUCUGCCUGAUGGCGGGGGGUAACUACUGGAAACGGUAGCAAUACCGCAUAAUGUCUGCGGACCAAAGCGGGGGGACCGUCCGGGCCUCGCGCCAUCAGAUGAACCCAUAUGGGAUUAGCUAGUAGGUAAGGUAACGGCUUACCUAGGCGACGAUCCCUAGCUGGUCUGAGAGGAUGAUCAGCCACACUGGGACUGAGACACGGCCCAG
Molecule: ribosomal RNA, 230 nt
Filed under: uncultured bacterium
Lineage: Bacteria
Description: partial 16S ribosomal RNA
Rfam family: Bacterial small subunit ribosomal RNA
Source: RNAcentral